Molecule: ribosomal RNA, 2266 nt
Organism: Lupinus angustifolius (narrow-leaved blue lupine)
Lineage: Eukaryota; Viridiplantae; Streptophyta; Magnoliopsida; Fabales; Fabaceae
Rfam family: Bacterial large subunit ribosomal RNA
Source: Rfam
AUGCAUUGGAUGGAUGCCUGAGCAUUGAGAAGGAAGGAAACUUUCAGAGGCGAAAGGCCAUGGGAAGAUACUAUCUGUGAUACAUGGAUCUCCGAUCGGAAAACUGUAUCCAAGCUUCGCAGCUAGUCUGCGCUAUUUGGACUUUUAAAACUUAGCAAACUGAAACAUCUUAGUAGUUAAAGGAAGGGAAAUCAACCGAGACCCCAUUAGUAGCAGCAAGCGAGAGCAGAUUAUGCUUUAAAGAAAAAGAAAAAUGAAGCAAAGUCUUCACUUCUUUUUCACUUCAUUCAAUUUGUUGUGCAUUGGAUGAUGGAAAAACCAGCAAGCCCCUUUCAUUGAAAGGGCGUAGUGAACUUGAAUUGUUAAAGGGAUGGAAGAUCUUGCCAAAGAAGGUGAUGGCCCUAUAGAUUUUGUUCCCAUGGUUCAAUCCUUCCCAGUAAAACGCAGCAUGUUCAAAUUUUGAUCGCUUUUACGCGAGAAAGGGGGACCACCCUCUAAGCCUAAGUAUUCCUCAAUGACUGAUAGCAUACAAGUACCGUGAGGGAAAGGUGAAAAGAACCCUAUUUAGGGAGUGCAAUAGAGAACCUAAGAUUCGAUGCGAACAAUCAGUCGAAGGAGUAGAGCUGAAAGCCUUUACUUUAGAUUCUAUUAGUAAAGCGCACUCAUUCUAACGGUGUACCUUUUGCAUGAUGGGUCAGCGAGAAAAUAGGAACAACUGAUUAAGCCAUUAGGUAUAGGCGCUUUUCAGAGGUGGAAUAUUAUAGUUCUUUCUAUUUGACCUAAAAUCGAUCGAUCUAACCCUAAGCAAGUUGAAGAGAGCUCUAAUAGGCCUUGGAGGACCGAACCCAUGUAUGUGGCAAAAUACGAGGAUGACUUGUGGCUAUGGGUGAAAGGCAAACCAAAAUCGAAUAUAGCUGGUUUUCUGUGAAAUCUAUUUCAGUAGAGCGUAUGAUGUCGAUGGCCCGAGGUAGAGCACUCAAUGGGCUAGGGUGGCCCCAUUUCGCCUUACCAACCUAGGGAAACUCUGAAGACAUGCCUAGAUCGUUUUUAAAGACAGACUUUUAGGGUGCUAAGAUCCAAAGUCGAGAGGGAAACAACCCAGAUCGUUCGCUAAGGUCCCUAAGCAAUCACUUAGUGGAAAGGAAGUGAUCGGGCGAUGAAAACCAUGAGGUUGGCUUGGAAGCAGCCAUCCUUUGAAGAAAGCAUAAUAGCGCACUAGUCUAGCUCCAUGGCAUCGAAAAUGUAUCAGGGCUGAAGUGAUUCACCGAAUUGACGAGACCUUGAAAGUUUUUCAAUUGUUAGUAGUGGGACGUUCUAUCAAUAGGAGAAGGUUUUUGGUAACAAGAGCUGAAGAUAUUAGAAGUGAGAAUGCUGACAUGAGUAACGAUAAACCCUGUGAAAAACACGAUCGCCUGCUAAUGGAAGGCUUUCUGCAUUCAGUCAAACUACACAGAGUAAAUCAGUCUCUAAGGAAGCCCUGAAAGGGUUGCCGUCCGAUGGGUACACGAAUGUGACGAAGUUCCUUUGACUACAGAACCAUGCAUGUUUGUAGGAGUGAAUUGGAUGAUCGGGUCGAGGGCAUCUUAAACCCCUCUUCCCCUCACUCUCCUUUCCUUAAGAUGAACCUUGAGUCAUCAUAACCUUUCUGACUCGGCCUGGCUCGGUCGCCCUACGCGACUAACACUACUAAAGGUAGUUGACCUGCUUACUCGAUAGAGUCGGGGUCGCGAGAUAGUAGAGCGUAUCGCCAUGCCAUAGUAGCGAGUCUGUUUAUAGUCACAACUGUUGUCAUAGUCAACAAGGUUGAAACUUCCAAGAAAAAACUUCGAAAUAGGAGGGCAAUCCUCUCACUCAGAAUCGGAAGAAGUGACUGUACUCUAAAUUGACACAGGUGAACAACUAGAGUAUACUAGGGCGCUUGAGAGAAACAUGUCGAAGGAACUCGGCAAAAUGACCUUGAAACUUCAGGAUAAAGGGUGCUAUCCUAUCUUUUGAUUAGGAAAGCGACACAUACCAGGGGGUAGCAACCGUUUAGUAAAAACACAGGACUCUGCUAAGUGGUAACAUGAUGUAUAGAGUCUAACACCUGCCCGGUAGUGGAAGGUCGGAAGGAGAAGUCUUAUAAAGUUUGAAUGGAAGCCCUAGUAAACGGCAGCGGUAACUCUAACUAUCCUAAGCUAUGGAAAUUCCUUGUCGCAUAAGUAGUGACCUGCACGAAUGGUGUAAUGACUACCCCACUGUCUCCGACAUGGACCUAGUGAAAUUG